Long non-coding RNA from Hemibagrus wyckioides, 2523 nucleotides. RefSeq lists it as uncharacterized. NCBI's taxonomy places the organism in Eukaryota, Metazoa, Chordata, Actinopteri, Siluriformes, Bagridae. The transcript has 2 exons. The record is from RefSeq and is a predicted model, not a curated record.
AGUGUAUGUUGCCACCUCUGACAUGGACUCUUCCAGACUCAGACAGUCAUGUGAUCCAAGGAGAGAAAAAAACCUGGCAACGUAAGCCGUGGAGGCUACGUCCAAAGCGGCAUACUACCGUACUAAGUAGUAUGCCUAACGCUAUGGAGACACACUGUUUAGUAUGGUAGCACAGCCCGCGUGUUUAAGCCCAGCCUCAAAAUUCUCAGAACUAAUUUGCUAUUCCGAGUCCAUUCGCUGCCGUGUUAAAACCUCAACAGCCAUAUCCACUAUACCCGAGUGUACACGGAGCUCCUAUUCACCCGGACCGAGGUGUUUCAGCCUGUCGCUAUACAUAUAUUUACUUUACUUUCUUUUUCUUUAUUUUUUUUUAGAAAUACUUUCGGUGCGGACUGCGGCUAAAGAAUGAGCAGGGCUUUAUUUGUGUUUUUGUUUUGAGCAGGAUUAGACAUUAUAUAUUUGACAAAAACUGAUCUUUUUUUUUCCGCUCACGUCUUGGAUCUUAUUAUACUGAAUCCGUGUGGUUUCUCUCUGCCUGCUUUUGUCCUUGUCGAGCUUUAUGUGUCAGAAACGUGCAUGGCAUUGCUGUAAGUAACGGGUUAAUAUGCUGGUGUACAUGUUAAAUGUGUGAAAGUUUUCUGUUUCAACAUAAUUUACCUUCUACAGCAACUAGAGGAAAUGUGUAUUGUUCAUCUGACUGCAUUAGUUUUUGCUCCUGUUGUGUUUAAUGACACUGUUUCCAUGUGAGCUGUGCAACAUUAACGCGACGAAUUAAAUUAAACCGCUGUGGAAAUAAUCCAGGUGUACUUUUAUUCACCACGUAAAUAGGUUUAAGUGUUGGUUGUACUCUUUAAUAUUUAAAAAAGUGUAUAUAUAUAUAUAUAUAUAUAUAUAUAUAUAUAUAUAUAUACAUAUAUGCCUUUUUGCUUUCUGACGAAAGUUUGUAAUAUUCAGCAGUUAAAGCCUUGUUUAUAUAUAUAUAUAUAUAUAUAUAUAUAUAUAUAUAUAUAUAUAUAUAUAUAUAUUAUUAUAGUCUUAUACUGUUACACAUUCAAAAUACGUGUAUGUAACACAUACACACAUAGAUCACUUCGCAUACUGAAUGCAACCAACUAAACAAAGUAAAAUGUACAGCCUGACUUGUACCAGACGUCUAAAGUGACACAGUGGCUGUGUCUUUAAGAGAAUCGCCCAACAACGAGGUAAAAUCUGCAGCCAUUUUGGUGUGAUUUUACUCUAAAGACAGUAAUACUUCCUCUCACACCGUGCACUGAGCAGGCAGUAAGUGACAGGUUAGCUCGUGCAGCCUGUAGGGUGAGUGUGUGUGUGUGUGUGAGAGAGAGCAACGUGUGUCAGCAACAGCAGCUGAUAAUGCAUGCAGGAAAACUUUUAGAAUAAUUGACGGGGGAGGGGGUGGAUUUUAAAAUCUUUUGGGCUUUUAAUCAGAGAAUUAAACUGAAUUCAUUUCCACUUGUUUCCACUUAGUGAUGGAGGAACUGGUUUUAAAGUGGCUGCAUGGAGAAACACCGUUGUUUAAGAAACACAGAUGAAAAAAGAACAGGUGGCCUGUUGGAGAAAGUGGCCUAACUGUGUCCAAACUAAACACGCUGUCCUGUGGGGUAAAGGGCAAGCACGUCUUAUCUGUAACACUGCUAAAGCAGUUACACUACAGACAGCUUUAGUUCACAUAGGGUGUUAAUGCAUAAUUCAGAUUCCUGGAGCUUCAUUAUUGUGUUUCAUGAAAAGAUACUACAUUUUCUUGCCAGCCCCAUUCUACAUGCAUCACUGUCACUGAACUGGAAAGGUCUAAACAAGUGUGCUAAGGCACAAAAUGUUCUAGAUAAACCUGGCCCAGCAUUUAACCCACAAUAGAGCAUGUUUAGCUUGGUGACCGAGUUGGGCGAGAUUCUGCCACACAACAGCAUGUUCACCUGUCCUUAUUUGAUUUGUGUUUCUGUAUUACUUAUCUAUGCAGUCAAUUUGAAAUAUGUCACCGAAAAAUGUAAUCGAUCUAAGUUGACUGUGAAUUUGAUUUGAUUUGAAUAUUUAGCUCUGUUCAGUUUGUAGAGUCUGUGGGAAAAGAGCACACCAUAUGCCUGCAUGCUUUCACAGCGCAGCGAGUGUGUGCUGUUUGGGCAGGCUUGCAUAUUUUUCAACCUGAGACCUGUUGCUGACAUGGCAGAGCAGCAACGUCUGAUAUGAACAGUAUGUCAUUUUUGCCCGUAGGUUUGCACGUAUUUGUGUAUGCAUGCACCGUGUGCUGCUACAGGUCCAUUUCAUGUAAUCCUCAGGCUGUGAGUAUUUUACAAAACAAGCUUUUUUUAUUUUAUUUUUUUUUACAUUUUCAGUAAUGAAAAGGCCUUGACCAAUGACAGCUUAUUUCCCCAAAUGUCCCAAAGUGCAGCUUGUUUAUGUACUUCUGUGUUUUGUACUUGUUUGCAUAGAAUUGAAUGUGAAUUUCUUAUCUUUGUUGUGUAAAUAUAACUUGUGCAAGUGCAAUAAAAAGAGAGAUUCAGUGCGUAA